AGAGCGCACGGUGGAUGCCUUGGCACUAGGAGCCGAAGAAGGACGGGACGAACACCGAUAUGCUUCGGGGAGCUGUAAGUAAGCGAUGAUCCGGAGAUUUCCGAAUGGGGCAACCUCUUAUCCUUGAUCGGAUAAGAUCUUUUUCCUGAAUCUAUAGGGAAGAAGAGGGAAGACCUAGCGAACUGAAACAUCUCAGUAGCUAGAGGAAAAGAAAGCAACAGCGAUUUCCACAGUAGCGGCGAGCGAACUGGAAAGAGGCCAAACCUUUCUGCUUGCAGGAAGGGGUAUGGACUCCAGAAGUGGAUAGAAGCCAUUAGUCGAACCUCCUGGGAAGGAGGGCCAAAGCAGGUGACAGCCCUGUAGACGAAAAUGAAAUCUACCCCGGAGUAUCCAGAGUACGGCGGAGCACGUGAAAUUCCGUCGGAAUAAGGGAGGACCUUCUCCCAAGCCUAAAUACUCCCUAGUGACCGAUAGUGAACCAGUACCGUGAGGGAAAGGUGAAAAGCACCCCGGAAGGGGAGUGAAAGAGAACCUGAAACCGUGUGCUUACAAGCAGUCAGAGCCCGUUAACGGGUGAUGGCGUACCUUUUGUAGAAUGGACCGGCGAGUAAUGAUUUCAUGCGAGGUUAAGCGGAAGAAGCGGAGCCGCAGCGAAAGCGAGUCUGAAGAGGGCGCAGAGUAUGAAGUCGUUGACCCGAAACCAGGUGACCUAUCCAUGUCCAGGGUGAAAGUGCGGUGAAACGCACUGGAGGCCCGAACCCACGUAUGUUGAAAAAUGCGGGGAUGAGGUGUGGAUAGCGGAGAAAUACCAAUCGAACUUGGAGAUAGCUGGUUCUCUCCGAAAUAGCUUUAGGGCUAGCCUCGGAGGAAGCAACAUGGAGGUAGAGCGACUGUUUGGAUGAGGGGCCCAUCCCGGGUUACCGAGUCCUGAUAAACUCCGAAUUCCAUGGAUGCAUAUCCGGGAGUCACACUAUGGGUGCUAAGAUUCAUAGUGGAAAGGGAAACAGCCCAGACCGUCGGCUAAGGCCCCCAAAUUCUUGUUAAGUGGAAAAGGAUGUGGGGCUGCAUAGACAACUAGGAUGUUGGCUCAGAAGCAGCCAUCAUUUAAAGAGUGCGUAAUAGCUCACUAGUCGAGUGGCCCUGCGCCGAAAAUGUACCGGGGCUAAACAAGAUGCCGAAGCCACGGAUAGAACCGUAAGGUUCUAUGGUAGGAGAGCGUUCUAAGGGCGAAGAAGGAUGACCGAAAGGACAUGUGGAGCGCUUAGAAGUGAGAAUGCCGGUAUGAGUAGCGAAACACGGGUGAGAAUCCCGUGCACCGAAAGACUAAGGUUUCCAGGGGAAGGCUCGUCCGCCCUGGGUUAGUCGGGACCUAAGCUGAGGCCGAACGGCGUAGGCGAUGGACAACAGGUGGAGAUUCCUGUACUCGUAAAGCGUGAUUGAGCGAUGGAGUGACACAGGAGGCCGAAGAUGAGCGCACGGUUGGAAGCGUGCGUCCAAGCCACGAGUUUGAGGGAGAGUGAAAUGCUUUUUCUCAGAGAAUGAGUGGUGACGGGGAGGGAAGAAGAGUACCGAAGCAUCAACGUCACACUGUCAAGAAAACCUUCUAGCGAGCACUUUACGACCCGUACCGCAAACCGACACAGGUAGUCGAGGAGAGUAUCCUAAGGUGAGCGAGAGAACUCUCGUUAAGGAACUCGGCAAAAUGACCCCGUAACUUCGGGAGAAGGGGUGCUGACGAUGUCAGCCGCAGUGAAUAGGCCCAGACGACUGUUUAUCAAAAACACAGGUCUCUGCAAAAUCGAAAGAUGAGGUAUAGGGGCUGACACCUGCCCGGUGCUGGAAGGUUAAGGGGACGAGUUAGUCGCAAGACGAAGCUCUGAUCUGAAGCCCCAGUAAACGGCGGCCGUAACUAUAACGGUCCUAAGGUAGCGAAAUUCCUUGUCGGGUAAGUUCCGACCCGCACGAAAGGUGCAACGAUCUGGGCACUGUCUCAACGAGAGACUCGGUGAAAUUGUAGUACCUGUGAAAAUGCAGGUUACCCGCGACAGGACGGAAAGACCCCGUGGAGCUUCACUGUAGCUUGAUAUUGAUUGUCGAUACGUUAUGUACAGGAUAGGUAGGAGCCGAAGAACUCUGGACGCCAGUUUAGAGGGAGGCAGCGGUGGGAUACUACCCUUAACGUAUGGCCAGUCUAACCCGCGACCCUAACCGGGUCGGGAGACAGUGUCAGGUAGGCAGUUUGACUGGGGCGGUCGCCUCCCAAAAUGUAACGGAGGCGCCCAAAGGUUCCCUCAGAAUGGUUGGAAAUCAUUCGGAGAGUGCAAAGGCAGAAGGGAGCUUGACUGCGAGACCCACAAGUCGAGCAGGGACGAAAGUCGGGCUUAGUGAUCCGGUGGUACCGAAAGGAAGGGCCAUCGCUCAACGGAUAAAAGCUACCCCGGGGAUAACAGGCUUAUCUCCCCCAAGAGUUCACAUCGACGGGGAGGUUUGGCACCUCGAUGUCGGCUCAUCGCAUCCUGGGGCUGUAGUCGGUCCCAAGGGUUGGGCUGUUCGCCCAUUAAAGCGGUACGCGAGCUGGGUUCAGAACGUCGUGAGACAGUUCGGUCCCUAUCCGUCGCGGGCGCAGGAGAUUUGAAGAGAGCCAUCCUUAGUACGAGAGGACCGGGAUGGACACACCGCUGGUGUACCAGUUGUUCUGCCAAGGGCAUGGCUGGGUAGCUAUGUGUGGACGGGAUAAACGCUGAAAGCAUCUAAGCGUGAAGCCUCCUUUAA
Molecule: ribosomal RNA, 2772 nt
Filed under: Allofustis seminis DSM 15817
Lineage: Bacteria; Bacillati; Bacillota; Bacilli; Lactobacillales; Carnobacteriaceae
Description: bacterial LSU rRNA
Rfam family: Bacterial large subunit ribosomal RNA
Source: RNAcentral